AUGGCGGAUUUGGUUGCUCGUUAGCUGGAUGAGCAUUUUCAGUUUGAAGAUACAGAAAAAUGUCGCAUUACCUAGUUGAAGUACCGAAAGAACCUCCGUUAAAAGGAUGCUGGAUUUUAAUUGCUGCCAAGAACUGGAUAUAUGAAGAUGUUUUGUAUACACCAGACAAUUCUUAUUCUCAUGCCUAUAAACUUAGCUUGCUCAAAGAUGGAAAGGACCCAGACAUUAUUACUUGGGAACGCAGUCAUUCUUUCAAAGUGAUCCACCAAUUUGACUCAUAUGAAGAGGCCAGAGAAAAUGUGCCACGAGCUGAGAAAGGCUUACCAAUUUUCACCAGGUCAUCUGAUAUUGGAAGAGGUCAUCUUCAAAGGAUAGAAAAAAGUUUGAAGCUGCCUGGGGAACUUUCUACAAGUGAACAAGAGAGUGAACAAGAAGAGGACAGUUUAACUCAAACCAAAAAGUCAACGGUGAAGAAGAAAAGUACACCUGUUAAAAGAAAAUCUUCAUCUGAAACUACCAAGCUUCCUUUGCCACCUCCUACGAUGAGAAGCAAAAGUAAGAAUGUCACGCCAAACAGCAGUAACAAAAUUGCAAAAUCCACUGUGAAAAUACCAUCAGUUGGAACUGCACUUGCCGGGCCAUCCGUACUAUCAGAUAAAAAAAAAGAUAGGUGGAAUGCAGUCAACAAUGUUAGGAGCUGUUCAACCCAAGUGAUGUCUUUCUAGAAAAGUAAUGAGAUCCAAGAAAAGCAGUAUGAUAAUGAUUAGCACAUUGACAGUGACAGUAGCGAAGAAGUCACGCCAAACAGCAGUAACAAAAUUGCAAAAUCCACUGUGAAAAUACCAUCAGUUGGAACUGCACUUGCCGGGCCAUCCGUACUAUCAG
RNAcentral lists this unclassified non-coding RNA (885 nucleotides) under Daphnia magna. Its description in RNAcentral is "uncharacterized LOC123466478, transcript variant X1". Lineage: Eukaryota; Metazoa; Arthropoda; Branchiopoda; Diplostraca; Daphniidae. The record is from RNAcentral.